This is an RNA transcript of Ziziphus jujuba (common jujube), 3715 nucleotides long. It is a transcript of the gene named disease resistance protein RPV1-like, with no coding region annotated. The record is from RefSeq and is a predicted model, not a curated record. The transcript has 6 exons. Lineage: Eukaryota; Viridiplantae; Streptophyta; Magnoliopsida; Rosales; Rhamnaceae.
AUUGUUUUAGUUUUCAACGAAAUAUGUGAGUGGAGAAUCAGAGUGGAGUUCGUCUCUCCUUUUGCUGGUUGAUUUUGUUGUUGUUCGAGUAGGAACAUUGAAGGUCAUCUUCUCCAGUGUCUCCUAAAGAGGGGAAGACACCCGUCACAGCUUUAUCAGUCAUCUCUACGCAGCUUUUCGUCAAAAGGAAUUUACAGCUUCUUAGAUGAUGAUAAACUUUAGAGAGGCAAAUCCAUUUCUCAAGAAUUGUUGGAACUUGGAAGCAAUCAAAGAUUCUCGCUGUUCGGUCAUCGUUAUCUCGGAAAACUAUGCUGACUCGACUUGGUGUUUGGAUGAACUUGUCGAGAUUGUUAAAUGCAGGAAGGACAAUAUACAGAUUGUUCUACCAAUUUUCUAUCACGUAGAUCCAUCUCAUGUACGGAAGCAGAGUGGAAGUAUUGGGGAAGCAUUCGAAAGAGAUGACCAAGAUUUUAGUGACCACUUAGAAAAGGUGCAAAGCUGGAGGGAUGCGUUAAAAGAAGUAGGCAAUCUAGCUGGAUGGCAUUUAUAUGAUAGGUAAUUGAGUAAUUGAUUAUUACCAUCUAUCCUUGUUGAAUGAAAUUUUUAUUCUUAUAUAUGCUUAUGUACUUAAUGAAUUUUCUUCUAUUGAAUGAUAUUUUCCAAUUUUAUAAUGGGAGAAAAGUGACAUGACAAAUGCCAGAUUUAAGGAGUGUCACCUGUUAUAUGGGAUGAAGCAAAAUUUAUACAAGACUUCAUUGUAGAGGUAUCAAGUAAAGUUGGUCUUGCACGAUUAAACAUUUCAGAGGACCUCUUUGGAAUGGAUUCACGACUAGAGAGACUAAACUUAUGUGUUCAUACUUCAUCAUUGGACGAUGUUUGUAUUAUUGGAAUUUGCGGAAUGGGUGGAAUAGGAAAGACAACUCUUGCCAAAGCUUAUUAAGAUUGGAAGUCUUCUCAAUUCCAAGAUAGUAGCUUCCUUGCAAUGUUAGAGAAGUUUGUGAAAAGAAGGAAAAUGGUCUUGUGUAUUUACAAACUCAUCUUCUUUCAGAUAUUCUUGAUGGGUUACCUACAAAAGUAAGGGAUGUUCAUGAAGGAAUGGACAUGAUAAGAAGUAGAUUAUGCCAUAAAAAAGUUCUUAUAGUUCUUGAUGAUGUGGAGAAAUUGGACCAGCUAAAAGUAUUUGCUAAGAAAAAUAGUUGGUUUGGUUCUGGAAGUAGAAUAAUUGUAACAUCUAGAGAUGAAAGUAAGCUUAGUAGUACAUAUAGAGGAUCUAUAAGAUAUAAAGUUGAGCAUUUAAAUUACCGCGAAAGUCUUCAACUAUUUUCUUGGAAAGCCUUCAAAAGCAUUCAACCAUCAAACGAUUACAUAGAGCUGUCCAAACAAGUGAUAGCUUAUGCCAACGGUCUUCCAUUAGCUCGAGAAGUACUAGGUUCCUUUUUAUGUGGAAAAAGUAUAAACGAAUGGAAAAGUGCUUUGGAUAGAUUAAAGGAGUAUCCAAAGAAGGCGAUUGUUAAAGUACUUCAAAUCACUUUUGAUGCACUUGAAGAAACAGAGAAAAGUAUUUUUCUGGAUAUUGCAUGCUUCUUCAAUGGGUUGAAUAAAGAUUAUAUUAUAUGAAUCAUGGAUGCCUGUGGUUUCUUUCCAGAAAUCGGGAUAAGAGUCCUUAUUGAUAAAUCAAUCCUGCACAUUUGUCAUGAUAACAGAGUGUGGAUGCACGAUUUACGACAAGAGAUGGGCAAGGAAAUUGUCCGAGAAAAAUGCUGCACUGAACCGGGAAGGCGAAGUAUGUUAUGGGAUAAUGACGAUUUAUAUCAUGUUUUAGAAAAUAACACGGGAACAGAACAAGUUGAAGCCAUAGUAUGCCAUUUUCUAACACAGAAAAUACUUAGCUGGGAAGCCUUCUCAAGUAUGAAGAAACUAAGAUUGCUCAUUAUUGAUUUUGGCUGGGGAGACACAGAUUGUCACGCAACAAAAGUUGAAUAUUCUAAAGAGUUAUGGUUCCUUGAAUGGUUUUAUUUUCCUUCUGAAGAUUUUCCAUCAGGUUUCCAACCAGAUGGGCUUGUUGAAUUGCAGUUGUUUGGUAGCAAUAUCAAAGAACUGUGGAACAACCCCAUCAAGCCAUUCCACAAUUUGCAACUCAUUGACCUAAGAUAUUCAAGAAAUCUUAGCAAGUUUAACGACUUCAGGAUGGUUCCAAAUCUGGAAAAGUUGAUUCUUCAAUGUUGUUCAAAACUACUGGAGGUUCACCCAUCCAUUGCAUAUCUCGAAAGGCUUACUUUACUAGAUCUGAAAUAUUUCACAAGUCUAGAAAAUCUUCCAGCAAGCUUAGAUGGUUUGAAAUCUCUCAAAGUUCUCGAGCUUGAAGGUUGUUAAAGGUUUCGUUACUUACCAGAGGACCUGGGGUAUCUAAAUAGUUUGGAGCAGCUUAAUCUGAGAGGUACUGCUGUAAAAUACCUACCAUCUUCCAUUGUACUUCUGAAAAACUUUAAGACCCUAUCAUGUGGUGAAGGACCCUUAGGACCACGACAAUGGAAAAAUGUUAUCAAUAUCAUUGUUGGCAAAGAUCUUUCCUCAGCUGGUCUUCAUUCUUUGAAAAAAUUGGAAUUAAGUAGCUGCAGUCUUGAAAAUAGAAGGUAUCCUCAAGAUUUUGGCUGCUUAGUUUCUUUAGAAGAUUAAGCCUCAGAACUGUUUUUGUUGCCUACCUGUCAGUAUCAAUAAACUAUCCAAGCUUAGGUAUCUUGAUGUGAGGCUUUGUAAAUAUCUAAAAUCAUUGGGACCAGAGCUUCCAACUAGCUUAGAAAUGGUAAAGGUUGAUCACUGUACUUUAUUGGACACCUUUCUUGAUCCACUGAGCCAAUGCACGUUGCGGUGUUCUGCAAGUUGUGUGAACUGCUUUAAUUUGGUGGAGGCAAGGCAGCAAAAGUACAGCAAUUGCCUCCUUAAAAAGUUAUCUCCAGAAGCCUUCUAAUCCAAUGAAAAUGUUUGAUAUUGUUCUUCCUGGAAAAGAAAUUCCAGCCUGGUUCACUCGUCAAAGUUCUGGGUCAUCGAUAAGUUUACAACUAGAUCCAAAUUGGUGCAACAGUAAAUGGAUGGGUUUUGCUUUCUCCGUAUGCUUUGUUUUUAUGGGCUUCUCAAGUUUUCUCUGCAAUGUAAAAAUCAAUGGAAAUGAUUGGGGAUUGGGACAGUUGGAGUUUCCUCGAUGCCAUGAGUUCUCUAUGCCUCACCUUUGGUUAUUGUAUUUGCCUCGUGAGAUCUAUUUCCAUAUAGAGUGGCAGAACAACAACUGUGGUCGGGUUGAGGUUUCCUUCGAAAUACAUAACCAAAUUAAAGGAAACUACACGAACAUGGCCAUUGGAUUUUGUGGUGCUCGUUUGGUAUAUGAGCCAGACAUAGAAGAUCUGAGCUGAAUUGCCUGCAACUGCAUUGAAUUUCCUGAUGAGGAUGUGGAUUUCUUUUGCAGAAUGAAGAAUGAAAGGAAUUUAAGAAAUAACUUCACUUUUCCUUCUUAACUUCAAUAGAACUAUCCAAUUUGUUUUUGUUGUGUGCAAAUAUGCCACAUUUCAGUUUUGGCAGUAAAUUAGAAGGCCAUCUAAACCAAAUAGCACCGACCUAGACAAACUAGAGAAUUCAUGCCUGCUUAGAUGUCAGUUUGGCGGCAUUAUGGUGGGAACCAUAUCAAAACACUUGAAAUAUAUUUGAUAAUAUUUGUGACUGA